UUGGCGGACGGGUGAGUAACGCGUGGAUAACCUGCCGUAUACAGGGGGAUAACACUUAGAAAUAGGUGCUAAUACCGCAUAAGCGCACGGUUCCGCAUGGAACAGUGUGAAAAACUCCGGUGGUAUACGAUGGAUCCGCGUCUGAUUAGCCAGUUGGCGGGGUAACGGCCCACCAAAGCGACGAUCAGUAGCCGGACUGAGAGGUUGGCCGGCCACAUUGGGACUGAGAUACGGCCCAGACUCCUACGGGAGGCAGCAG
RNAcentral lists this ribosomal RNA (259 nucleotides) under uncultured bacterium. RNAcentral describes it as "partial 16S ribosomal RNA". It matches the Rfam family "Bacterial small subunit ribosomal RNA", at positions 95 to 354 of the family's 1533-position model. The record is from RNAcentral.